Molecule: ribosomal RNA, 194 nt
Filed under: uncultured bacterium
Lineage: Bacteria
Description: partial 16S ribosomal RNA
Rfam family: Bacterial small subunit ribosomal RNA
Source: RNAcentral
CCUACGGGAGGCAGCAGUGGGGAAUAUUGCGCAAUGGGGGAAACCCUGACGCAGCGACGCCGCGUAAGCAAAGAAGGCCUUAGGGUCGUAAAGCUCUGUUUUAAGGGACGAAUGUCGUGAGGAAUAAUACGUCUCACGAAUGACGGUACCUUAAGAGGAAGCCCCGGCUAACUACAUGCCAGCAGCCGCGGUAA